This 207-nucleotide ribosomal RNA is filed under the name uncultured Peptococcaceae bacterium. Its description in RNAcentral is "partial 16S ribosomal RNA". It matches the Rfam family "Bacterial small subunit ribosomal RNA", at positions 568 to 774 of the family's 1533-position model. Lineage: Bacteria; Bacillati; Bacillota; Clostridia; Eubacteriales; Peptococcaceae. The record is from RNAcentral.
CGCGUAGGCGGUCAUUUAAGUCAGAGGUGAAAACUACCGGCUCAACCGGUAGCCUGCCUUUGAAACUGGAUGACUUGAGGGCAGGAGAGGGGAGUGGAAUUCCCAGUGUAGCGGUGAAAUGCGUAGAUAUUGGGAGGAACACCAGUGGCGAAGGCGGCUCUCUGGCCUGUUUCUGACGCUGAGGCGCGAAAGCGUGGGGAGCGAACG